CAGGCUUAACACAUGCAAGUCGAGGGGCAUCAGGAAGAAAGCUUGCUUUCUUUGCUGGCGACCGGCGCACGGGUGAGUAACACGUAUCCAACCUGCCCUUUACUCGGGGAUAGCCUUUCGAAAGAAAGAUUAAUACCCGAUAGCAUAAUGAUUCCGCAUGGUUUCAUUAUUAAAGGAUUCCGGUAAAGGAUGGGGAUGCGUUCCAUUAGGUUGUUGGUGAGGUAACGGCCCACCAAGCCUUCGAUGGAUAGGGGUUCUGAGAGGAAGGUCCCCCACAUUGGAACUGAGACACGGUCCAAACUCCUACGGGAGGCAGCAGUGAGGAAUAUUGGUCAAUGGGCGCUAGCCUGAACCAGCCAAGUAGCGUGAAGGAUGAAGGCUCUAUGGGUCGUAAACUUCUUUUAUAUAAGAAUAAAGUGCGGUAUGUAUACUGUUUUGUAUGUAUUAUAUGAAUAAGGAUCGGCUAACUCCGUGCCAGCAGCCGCGGUAAUACGGAGGAUCCGAGCGUUAUCCGGAUUUAUUGGGUUUAAAGGGAGCGUAGGUGGACUGGUAAGUCAGUUGUGAAAGUUUGCGGCUCAACCGUAAAAUUGCAGUUGAUACUGUCAGUCUUGAGUACAGUAGAGGUGGGCGGAAUUCGUGGUGUAGCGGUGAAAUGCUUAGAUAUCACGAAGAACUCCGAUUGCGAAGGCAGCUCACUGGACUGCAACUGACACUGAUGCUCGAAAGUGUGGGUAUCAAACAGGAUUAGAUACCCUGGUAGUCCACACAGUAAACGAUGAAUACUCGCUGUUUGCGAUAUACAGUAAGCGGCCAAGCGAAAGCAUUAAGUAUUCCACCUGGGGAGUACGCCGGCAACGGUGAAACUCAAAGGAAUUGACGGGGGCCCGCACAAGCGGAGGAACAUGUGGUUUAAUUCGAUGAUACGCGAGGAACCUUACCCGGGCUUAAAUUGCAGUGGAAUGAUGUGGAAACAUGUCAGUGAGCAAUCACCGCUGUGAAGGUGCUGCAUGGUUGUCGUCAGCUCGUGCCGUGAGGUGUCGGCUUAAGUGCCAUAACGAGCGCAACCCUUAUCUUUAGUUACUAACAGGUUAUGCUGAGGACUCUAGAGAGACUGCCGUCGUAAGAUGUGAGGAAGGUGGGGAUGACGUCAAAUCAGCACGGCCCUUACGUCCGGGGCUACACACGUGUUACAAUGGGGGGUACAGAAGGCAGCUAGCGGGUGACCGUAUGCUAAUCCCAAAAUCCUCUCUCAGUUCGGAUCGAAGUCUGCAACCCGACUUCGUGAAGCUGGAUUCGCUAGUAAUCGCGCAUCAGCCACGGCGCGGUGAAUACGUUCCCGGGCCUUGUACACACCGCCCGUCAAGCCAUGGGAGCCGGGGGUACCUGAAGUACGUAACCGCAAGGAUCGUCCUAGGGUAAAACUGGUGACUGGGGCUAAA
Molecule: ribosomal RNA, 1439 nt
Filed under: uncultured organism
Description: SSU rRNA
Rfam family: Bacterial small subunit ribosomal RNA
Source: RNAcentral